RNAcentral lists this ribosomal RNA (253 nucleotides) under uncultured bacterium. RNAcentral describes it as "partial 16S ribosomal RNA". It matches the Rfam family "Bacterial small subunit ribosomal RNA", at positions 524 to 776 of the family's 1533-position model. The record is from RNAcentral.
AACGUAGGAGGCGAGCGUUAUCCGGAGUUACUGGGCGUAAAGCGCGUGUAGGUGGUUGGAUACGUCUGCUGUGAAAUGUCCCGGCUUAACCGGGAGGGUGCGCCGAAAACUGGAGUGCUUGAGUAUGGGAGAGGCAAGCGGAAUUCCUGGUGUAGCGGUGAAAUGCGUAGAUAUCAGGAGGAACACCUGUGGUGUAGACAGCUUGCUGGACCAUCACUGACGCUGAGGCACGAAAGCGUGGGUAGCAAACAGG